UACGUAGGGUGCAAGCGUUGUCCGGAAUUAUUGGGCGUAAAGAGCUCGUAGGCGGUUUGUCGCGUCUGCUGUGAAAACUCAGGGCUUAACCCUGAGCCUGCAGUGGGUACGGGCAGACUAGAGUGUGGUAGGGGAGAUCGGAAUUCCUGGUGUAGCGGUGGAAUGCGCAGAUAUCAGGAGGAACACCGGUGGCGAAGGCGGAUCUCUGGGCCAUAACUGACGCUGAGGCGCGAAAGCGUGGGUAGCAAACAGG
Molecule: ribosomal RNA, 253 nt
Filed under: uncultured bacterium
Lineage: Bacteria
Description: partial 16S ribosomal RNA
Rfam family: Bacterial small subunit ribosomal RNA
Source: RNAcentral